UACGGAGGGUGCAAGCGUUAUCCGGAUUUACUGGGUUUAAAGGGUGCGUAGGUGGAUAAUUAAGUCAGUGGUGAAAUCUUCAGGCUUAACCUGGAAACUGCCAUUGAUACUAUUUAUCUUGAAUACUUUGGAGGUAAGCGGAAUAUGUCAUGUAGCGGUGAAAUGCGUAGAUAUCUGGAGGAACACCGGUGGCGAAGGCGGCAUCCUGGACCGGUAUUGACGCUGAGGCGCGAAAGCUAGGGGAGCAAACGGG
RNAcentral lists this ribosomal RNA (253 nucleotides) under uncultured bacterium. Its description in RNAcentral is "partial 16S ribosomal RNA". It matches the Rfam family "Bacterial small subunit ribosomal RNA", at positions 524 to 776 of the family's 1533-position model. The record is from RNAcentral.